GUCCUCCUGUGGUCCUUGCCCGAGGCAUCACCUUUCCUCUGCCCUGGGCUCAGCACUUGCUCAUCCAUCUCCGUAGGGCUCAUGGCUCAGGCUGAGCUGGUGGGUGCCAUGAGCGGUGCUGUGCGUGGUCAGGGUCCUCAGGCGGAGGAGGGUGCGGUUUCCGGCAGAUGCCGGGCAGGGCUGUUUUGCAUUGGAAGCAGAUACUCUGAGGUAGUUCUCUUUGCGAUCACUCAUUUCACCGGUGACCGUGACAUCUGCCUCUGGCUCCAUCUCCAUUCCCACUCUGUGCCUUUGUCUUGCCAGCAUUGCUGUUUUUUGCUCUUAACAAGAUUAGUUAUAUAAGCUCAGGAAAUAAUCGUGUUGCAAUGAAAAUAAACAUCCAAUCUAGUUUUAAGUGGGCUUUAUUGAAAAAGUAAAGGCUUGGUUUGUCUUGUGGACUUUCCCUCCCAGGUCAUCAGAUGCAGUCACUGUGCAUAUGUGCUGGACCCGGUGACCUUGGCAUCAGUGCCCAGGGGCUCGGUGUCUCCACCUCUGACCAGAGUAUCAGUAGCAGCCGUGCUGGGGUGGAGGAAUGGCAGUGCAGCACGGAAGAAGACCGGGAGAGAGAGGAGAACAUGCAGGCCCCUCACAGCCCCGUCCGGGUUGUGGGCUGCAGCUCCUGCUCCCUGUCCUGCGCCUUCUCUGUGUGGCUGCUUCUCUCCCUCCCUCUGUCUUCCUUUGUUGCCCUCAUCUUCCUGGGUCCAGUGCUUCUUCCAGGCAGUGGUUUCAACUGUCCGUGCCCUGCGUCUGGCUCUGUUUCCCCUUCUGCAUCCGCAGGGCCCAGUCCAUGGGAUUCACCUUCCUUUCCAUGUGACGAGCUGGCCUGGAGGAAGGAGAACCAGUUCCAAAAUUACAUGUUCCUUCGAAGCUGCCAGGCAAGUCCCCUGAUGACAGUGCCGGCUCCCUGGGCGGCCCACUGCACCCUGGCUUCUUUACGUCCCUCCGGAGGCGUAGUCUGCUCUGAGCCCUGCCUGCCAAAAGCACCCCAGUUGCCUCCAGCUCCUCCCUGUGGGCGUCCCAUAGCAGAACCACACCCGACACAGUCCGUGUGUUUUCUUGUGUGCCCUGUGUCUCGAG
This 1116-nucleotide long non-coding RNA is filed under the name Fukomys damarensis (Damara mole-rat). RNAcentral's name for it is "lncRNA (ENSFDAG00000024065.1)". Lineage: Eukaryota; Metazoa; Chordata; Mammalia; Rodentia; Bathyergidae. The record is from RNAcentral.